UGUUCCUUCGGUGGCAGUACAUAGAAAUCUGAGCAAUACAGAGAAGAUUAACAUGGUCCUGAGAAAGGAUGGCAAACAGAUUUGUGGAGCAUUCUGUACUAUU
RNAcentral lists this small nuclear RNA (103 nucleotides) under Mus spicilegus (steppe mouse). The record is from RNAcentral. Lineage: Eukaryota; Metazoa; Chordata; Mammalia; Rodentia; Muridae.